UUCAAAUUGAGAGUUUGAUCCUGGCUCAGGAUGAACGCUGGCGGCGUGCCUAAUACAUGCAAGUCGAACGCUUUGUGGUUCAACUGAUUUGAAGAGCUUGCUCAGAUAUG
RNAcentral lists this ribosomal RNA (110 nucleotides) under Weissella confusa. Its description in RNAcentral is "partial 16S ribosomal RNA". It matches the Rfam family "Bacterial small subunit ribosomal RNA", at positions 1 to 97 of the family's 1533-position model. Lineage: Bacteria; Bacillati; Bacillota; Bacilli; Lactobacillales; Lactobacillaceae. The record is from RNAcentral.